GGAUAAACCGGGUAGGAGAUAUGUUCUGGAAUGAUGUAUCUUUGAAACUUUGGUCUAAGGAUGAGGCUGCGGCUGAUUAGGUAGUUGGCGGGGUAAAUGCCCACCAAGCCGGUGAUCAGUAAGGGCUCUUAGCGGAGAGGCCCUGAGAGGGAAUCUUAGACACUAUUCCCAGCCCUACGGGGUGCAGCAGUUAGGGAACUUUUCCAAUGCGCGUAAGCGUGAGAAAGCAAGUCAGAGUGAUUUUGAUAUAAUUUCAAAAUCUUUUGCCAAAUGCAAAAAAUUUGGCGAAUAAGGACUGGGCAAGACCGGUGCCAGCCGCCGCGGUAAUCCCGGCGGUCCAAGUCGCAUCCACAAUUAUUGGGUCUAAAACAUUCGUAGCUUGUUCGUUAAGUUCUUUGUGAAACCUUGUAUCUCAAGUACAAGGCGUGCAAAGAAUACUGGCGAGCUUGAGACCGGAAGAAGUAAGAAGUACAGUUGAGGUAGCGGUAAAAUGUGUUAAUCUUAACUGGACUAACAACAGCGAAGGCAUCUUACUAGUACGGAUCUGACAGUGAGGGAUGGAGGCUAGGGGCGCGAAACGGAUUAGAUACCCGUGUAGUCCUAGCUGUAAACACUGCUCACUGAACAUUAGUACCUCCUCGAGAGGUAUUAGUGCUGUAGCGAAGGCGAAGAGUGAGCUACC
Molecule: ribosomal RNA, 682 nt
Filed under: uncultured archaeon
Lineage: Archaea
Description: bacterial SSU rRNA
Rfam family: Archaeal small subunit ribosomal RNA
Source: RNAcentral